GCCUGAAUCAGUGUGUGUGUUAGUGGAAGCGUCUGGAAAGGCGCGCGAUACAGGGUGACAGCCCCGUACACAAAAAUGCACAUACUGUGAGCUCGAUGAGUAGGGCGGGACACGUGGUAUCCUGUCUGAAUAUGGGGGGACCAUCCUCCAAGGCUAAAUACUCCUGACUGACCGAUAGUGAACCAGUACCGUGAGGGAAAGGCGAAAAGAACCCCGGCGAGGGGAGUGAAAAAGAACCUGAAACCGUGUACGUACAAGCAGUGGGAGCACAGAGCAAUCUGUGUGACUGCGUACCUUUUGUAUAAUGGGUCAGCGACUUAUAUUCUGUAGCAAGGUUAACCGAAUAGGGGAGCCGAAGGGAAACCGAGUCUUAACUGGGCGUUAAGUUGCAGGGUAUAGACCCGAAACCCGGUGAUCUAGCCAUGGGCAGGUUGAAGGUUGGGUAACACUAACUGGAGGACCGAACCGACUAAUGUUGAAAAAUUAGCGGAUGACUUGUGGCUGGGGGUGAAAGGCCAAUCAAACCGGGAGAUAGCUGGUUCUCCCCGAAAGCUAUUUAGGUAGCGCCUCGUGAAUUCAUCUCCGGGGGUAGAGCACUGUUUCGGCAAGGGGGUCAUCCCGACUUACCAACCCGAUGCAAACUGCGAAUACCGGAGAAUGUUAUCACGGGAGACACACGGCGGGUGCUAACGUCCGUCGUGAAGAGGGAAACAACCCAGACCGCCAGCUAAGGUCCCAAAGUCAUGGUUAAGUGGGAAACGAUGUGGGAAGGCCCAGACAGCCAGGAUGUUGGCUUAGAAGCAGCCAUCAUUUAAAGAAAGCGUAAUAGCUCACUGGUCGAGUCGGCCUGCGCGGAAGAUGUAACGGGGCUAAACCAUGCACCGAAGCUGCGGCAGCGACACUAUGUGUUGUUGGGUAGGGGAGCGUUCUGUAAGCCUGUGAAGGUGUACUGUGAGGUAUGCUGGAGGUAUCAGAAGUGCGAAUGCUGACAUAAGUAACGAUAAAGCGGGUGAAAAGCCCGCUCGCCGGAAGACCAAGGGUUCCUGUCCAACGUUAAUCGGGGCAGGGUGAGUCGACCCCUAAGGCGAGGCCGAAAGGCGUAGUCGAUGGGAAACAGGUUAAUAUUCCUGUACUUGGUGUUACUGCGAAGGGGGGACGGAGAAGGCUAUGUUGGCCGGGCGACGGUUGUCCCGGUUUAAGCGUGUAGGCUGGUUUUCCAGGCAAAUCCGGAAAAUCAAGGCUGAGGCGUGAUGACGAGGCACUACGGUGCUGAAGCAACAAAUGCCCUGCUUCCAGGAAAAGCCUCUAAGCAUCAGGUAACAUCAAAUCGUACCCCAAACCGACACAGGUGGUCAGGUAGAGAAUACCAAGGCGCUUGAGAGAACUCGGGUGAAGGAACUAGGCAAAAUGGUGCCGUAACUUCGGGAGAAGGCACGCUGAUAUGUAGGUGAAGCGACUUGCUCGUGGAGCUGAAAUCAGUCGAAGAUACCAGCUGGCUGCAACUGUUUAUUAAAAACACAGCACUGUGCAAACACGAAAGUGGACGUAUACGGUGUGACGCCUGCCCGGUGCCGGAAGGUUAAUUGAUGGGGUCAGCGCAAGCGAAGCUCUUGAUCGAAGCCCCGGUAAACGGCGGCCGUAACUAUAACGGUCCUAAGGUAGCGAAAUUCCUUGUCGGGUAAGUUCCGACCUGCACGAAUGGCGUAAUGAUGGCCAGGCUGUCUCCACCCGAGACUCAGUGAAAUUGAACUCGCUGUGAAGAUGCAGUGUACCCGCGGCAAGACGGAAAGACCCCGUGAACCUUUACUAUAGCUUGACACUGAACAUUGAGCCUUGAUGUGUAGGAUAGGUGGGAGGCUUUGAAGUGUGGACGCCAGUCUGCAUGGAGCCGACCUUGAAAUACCACCCUUUAAUGUUUGAUGUUCUAACGUUGACCCGUGAUCCGGGUUGCGGACAGUGUCUGGUGGGUAGUUUGACUGGGGCGGUCUCCUCCUAAAGAGUAACGGAGGAGCACGAAGGUUGGCUAAUCCUGGUCGGACAUCAGGAGGUUAGUGCAAUGGCAUAAGCCAGCUUGACUGCGAGCGUGACGGCGCGAGCAGGUGCGAAAGCAGGUCAUAGUGAUCCGGUGGUUCUGAAUGGAAGGGCCAUCGCUCAACGGAUAAAAGGUACUCCGGGGAUAACAGGCUGAUACCGCCCAAGAGUUCAUAUCGACGGCGGUGUUUGGCACCUCGAUGUCGGCUCAUCACAUCCUGGGGCUGAAGUAGGUCCCAAGGGUAUGGCUGUUCGCCAUUUAAAGUGGUACGCGAGCUGGGUUUAGAACGUCGUGAGACAGUUCGGUCCCUAUCUGCCGUGGGCGCUGGAGAACUGAGGGGGGCUGCUCCUAGUACGAGAGGACCGGAGUGGACGCAUCACUGGUGUUCGGGUUGUCAUGCCAAUGGCACUGCCCGGUAGCUAAAUGCGGAAGAGAUAAGUGCUGAAAGCAUCUAAGCACGAAACUUGCCCCGAGAUGAGUUCUCCCUGACUCCUUGA
Molecule: ribosomal RNA, 2529 nt
Filed under: Escherichia coli
Lineage: Bacteria; Pseudomonadati; Pseudomonadota; Gammaproteobacteria; Enterobacterales; Enterobacteriaceae
Description: bacterial LSU rRNA
Rfam family: Bacterial large subunit ribosomal RNA
Source: RNAcentral